UGCCCUGAUUUUUAUCGAUUCUUCUCAUC
Molecule: non-coding RNA, 29 nt
Filed under: Mus musculus (house mouse)
Lineage: Eukaryota; Metazoa; Chordata; Mammalia; Rodentia; Muridae
Source: RNAcentral